This 210-nucleotide long non-coding RNA is filed under the name Mytilus galloprovincialis (Mediterranean mussel). Lineage: Eukaryota; Metazoa; Mollusca; Bivalvia; Mytilida; Mytilidae. The record is from RNAcentral.
CUGGUGAUGUCUUAUUGAUAUCCAGUUUAGAAACAACGUCAUUAUCUUGUUUACACGGAGGUCCUUGAUGGACAGUAACUUUACAGGAAUUACACAUGUGACCAUCACAAUCCUCACAUUUUCAUUUAAUAUCUGGUCCUUUAAAAAAUUGGUAUGACACUUGCACUUUGGCUUUCCUUAUAUUUGUGGAUCUGUCUGCUGUUGCCAUUU